RNAcentral lists this ribosomal RNA (800 nucleotides) under uncultured bacterium. Its description in RNAcentral is "bacterial SSU rRNA". It matches the Rfam family "Bacterial small subunit ribosomal RNA", at positions 43 to 849 of the family's 1533-position model. The record is from RNAcentral.
CAGGCCUAACACAUGCAAGUCGAGGGGUAGAAGUCUUCGGGCUUUGAGACCGGCGCACGGGUGCGUAACGCGUAUGCAAUCUGCCUUACACUAAGGGAUAGCCCAGAGAAAUUUGGAUUAAUACCUUAUAGUAUAUUGAUGUGGCAUCACAUUAUUAUUAAAGAUUUAUCGGUGUAAGAUGAGCAUGCGUCCCAUUAGCUAGUUGGUAUGGUAACGGCAUACCAAGGCAAUGAUGGGUAGGGGUCCUGAGAGGGAGAUCCCCCACACUGGUACUGAGACACGGACCAGACUCCUACGGGAGGCAGCAGUGAGGAAUAUUGGACAAUGGGCGCAAGCCUGAUCCAGCCAUGCCGCGUGCAGGAUGACGGUCCUAUGGAUUGUAAACUGCUUUUAUACAGGAAGAAACCCUCCCACGUGUGGGAGAUUGACGGUACUGUAGGAAUAAGGAUCGGCUAACUCCGAGCCAGCAGCCGCGGUAAUACGGAGGAUCCAAGCGUUAUCCGGAAUCAUUGGGUUUAAAGGGUCCGUAGGCGGUCUUAUAAGUCAGUGGUGAAAUCCCAUCGCUCAACGAUGGAACUGCCAUUGAUACUGUAAGACUUGAAUACUUAGGAAGUAACUAGAAUAUGUAGUGUAGCGGUGAAAUGCUUAGAUAUUACAUGGAAUACCAAUUGCGAAGGCAGGUUACUACUAAGUGAUUGACGCUGAUGGACGAAAGCGUGGGGAGCGAACAGGAUUAGAUACCCUGGUAGUCCACGCCGUAAACGAUGGAUACUAGCUGUUCGGAGCAAUCUGAGUGGCUA